GUCCUUUCUCUGUACUCAAGCUGGCACUACUGCCUUCGUAAAGCUCUCUUUGCUUCUUCUCCAUUUCGGUAUUGAUUCUGGAACGAUCCUUAAACCCUAACCCUAAUUUCACCUCACUGUAAAAUAAAGGCGUCGUCAGCUCACCGCCACGGCCACCGGCAGAAACAUACACAGUGUCCUGGACUUGCACCAUUAAAUUGUUUCAUGCUUUAACGUAUUGCCGCAAAAGAAAAGGCAAAAAAAUGGUUCCUUUCUUGCCUUUGCUUUCACUUAUUAUUCUCUCUCUCGCAAUCUCAAUCUCAAUAUCAAUCCCAGGUGUCAAUCCACGGGAGCAGUAUUCAUCAGCCUACGAUGUUCUUGAGGAUCAUGGGCUUCCCAUGGGCCUACUCCCUAAGGGCGUUAAGGAUUUCAGAAUCGAAGAUACGGGCCAUUUCGUGGUCCACUUGGAUCAGGCUUGCAACGCCAAGUUCGAGAGCGAAUUGCAUUACGAUAGGAAUGUUUCUGGGACUCUGAGCUACGGCCAGAUCGGGGCUUUGUCUGGAAUUUCUGCUCAAGAGUUGUUUUUGUGGUUUCCGGUCAAGGGAAUUCGGGUAGAUGUGCCCAGUUCGGGCCUUAUUUAUUUCGAUGUUGGUGUAGUGUCUAAGCAGUUCUCGCUUUCCUUGUUUGAGACACCGAGGGAUUGUUUGGCGGUUCAAGAUGGGCAAACGGAGGCUAUUGAGACAGGAAGGCUCAUUGCCGAGGCUGUGUCCAAGAGCCAACUUGGGGGGUUAAGAUAUCAACUCGAUCAAGAGAAUUUUGGGAGGGGUGUUCUGUAGAAUGCGUUGAGAAAGUUUCUUAAGACGGGUCAUAGUUCAAUCAACUCAUGGUUUCUCAUUUUCACCUUGUAAAUAUCAUCAGAGAUUCUGCUUUAACGGGUCCAAUGCUUCCAGUCAGUGUGUUUGCUUGUGUUCUUUUUUCCCUAUAAAGUGCAGAAUAUGCAACUUAGCAGAGCCGGUUCUUGUCUGUGCAUGGAUGCCCGAUGGACCUCUUUGAGAGGGAAACUUAAUGAAGUAGCAGCAUGAUCAUCAAAGGCUUCCUGCCUGCAGAACUUAAAGUUUUGGCUGAGGUGAUUUCAGGCUAUCUUACUAUAUUGUGCAUCAUUGGAGCCAUUUGAGAAAUUUUUGGAGGUUCAAUUUCAGGUGCAACUUUUGAACUCUGUCCUUACUGAAUCAUGAUUUUUUUUUUUUUAUUACAGUCCUCUAUUUUUCUUUUAUUUUCUUUUUCUUUUUCUUUUUUCCUCUUUAGUAAGAAAAAGGCUUUUUUAUUCUUUAAAAAUGUUUGUCCACUGAGUCUUGAUUACACAAAUAAGAUAUCUCCAUCCCUCUCUAAUGCUCAAGCCAUCCACAUGAUUUGCCCUACUAGUUAUUUCUAUUCAGUUAUUAGCUUUAGGGUUUCAUCACUGGAUGUUAAAGCUCCCGGGCAUCACAGGCUUCAACCACUUAACUGCCAGGCUUAUGGCCAACUUUUCUUGACUUGAAAAUUGCCUAUCUGCUGUGUUGAAAAUGAUAGAUAAACCUCUGAUUUCAAGCAGUCAGAUUUAGGGUCUCAACUCUCAUGUGGCUUGGUCCCAACAGUUAUUUGGCUGCAUUAGAACACCUAGUGAGCAUAAGCUGGAUAGACUUAUGCGUUGGCCCUUGGUUUUGCUACAUUGGAGUGACAGUCUUCCUCUGUUGGUUCAUGCCCAAUAUCUCUGAGCGCAAAAUAAUGUUUCAAGUGAAUCUGCUGCCCUUUGGAUAUGUGGCAUGACAUCAAUAAGUAAGAAAUGGUUAAUAUAACUCAGACUGCUUAUAUUUGUCUGCUUACCUUUUUUUGUUGGAGAUUUUAAUCAUAUGAACUUUAUAUGAAACAAUUCUAUGAAGGAGAAAAAAAAAUGCAGUUGAGCAAAACAAAAUUUGUAUUUAAGCCUCAUGGAUGAAGAUCUUGUUCUUA
Hevea brasiliensis (rubber tree) is the source of this 1968-nucleotide RNA transcript. RefSeq lists it as uncharacterized. NCBI's taxonomy places the organism in Eukaryota, Viridiplantae, Streptophyta, Magnoliopsida, Malpighiales, Euphorbiaceae. The record is from RefSeq and is a predicted model, not a curated record. The transcript has 3 exons.